This 778-nucleotide ribosomal RNA is filed under the name uncultured Neocallimastigales. Its description in RNAcentral is "partial large subunit ribosomal RNA". It matches the Rfam family "Eukaryotic large subunit ribosomal RNA", at positions 23 to 646 of the family's 3401-position model. Lineage: Eukaryota; Fungi; Neocallimastigomycota; Neocallimastigomycetes; Neocallimastigales. The record is from RNAcentral.
AGAGAGAGACAUGCGCGCAUAUCAAUAAGCGGAGGAAAAGAAACUAACUAGGAUUCCCUCUAGUAACGGCGAGUGAAGCGGGAAGAGCUCAAAUUUGAAAUCUUCAAGGUUCUACCUUGACGAAUUGUAGUUUAAAGAAGUGUUUUCUGUUGGAGUUUUGGUAAAAGUUCUUUGGAAUAGGACAUCAUAGAGGGUGAGAAUCCCGUAUUUGACCAUUUACUUUCCAGCUUUGUGAUACACUUUCAAAGAGUCGGAUUGUUUGGGAAUGCAGUCCAAAAUGGGUGGUAAAUUUCAUCUAAAGCUAAAUAUUGGCGAGAGACCGAUAGCGAACAAGUACCGUGAGGGAAAGAUGAAAAGAACUUUGAAAAGAGAGUUAAACAGUACGUGAAAUUGUCAAAAGGGAAGCGUUUGACACCAGUGUUGUUUUCUCGAAAAUCAAUUAAAAAAGGCAGGAUUUUGUGUUGUAUUGACUUUAUCAGCUUUCUGCAUCUCUUUUCUUGUCUUUUUUAAUGCACUUUUCGUUUAACAAGUCAACAUCAAUUUCUUUUGUUGUAAAAGGGUCAUUGGAAGGUGGCUUUCUUUUCGGAGAAAGUGUUUAUAGCCUUUGGCCUCUGCAAUCGGAGAGAUUGAGGUCUGCAGCGUAGAUCCUUCGGGGUUAGAUACAUUUGUGCUAAGUUAUAGCCUUUCAUAGACAACUUGUUGACUAUGAUCAGUCAUGUAGCUUACUCGCUUAUGCUAUUUUACCUACGCUUAGGAUGUUGAUGUGAUACUGCGAGCA